Molecule: long non-coding RNA, 1453 nt
Organism: Stegodyphus dumicola
Lineage: Eukaryota; Metazoa; Arthropoda; Arachnida; Araneae; Eresidae
Source: RefSeq, a predicted model, not a curated record
UGCAAUAAGAAGAUAAAUACUUCAAUAACACACACUUGUUCCCCCAACGCAAAGCUGGAGAGCGGAAAGAAAAAUAUAUUGAGAGGGGAAAAUGUUUAUUGUAAAAGGUGAUCUCAAAUCUUCUCUGCUAAACCAUACAUCUUUCCAGGAAUCUGAAAGAAGACGCAAGGCAGAGAAAGUCGUGACCAAAAAUCUUUGACGGAUCUGAAAUGUAAAUUAAAAAGUGGGAGAGAAUCGAUACUAGUCGAAGAAAAAAUAAAGAACCAGAAGAUAGUUUUCAUUUAGCAGCGCCAUACAAGAUUCCGGGUCACGUGCCUUUAAUCAUCGUCGCCAUUGAAAAGCCAUUUGGAGUCAUCGGUAUAUGGUCGCGGACAUGAUAAAACGAAUUUAGGUCAGUUGUACGUUUCAUUGACCAACGCAUGAUUCGAAUAACACAACUUUCCAAUACAUUUCUAAAAGAAAUUAACAGUAAAGUUUUCCAGGAAAUUAUUAGUGGAGUUUGACGUGCGGCUGCUUGUUUUGUCUUGAUGCAGUUCUACUGGAUCGAUGCCACUGUGGGUCAAGAAAAGAAUGUCCUCCCCUACGGUCUAUAAGAUUCAACAGCGGAAGUGCAUGCUUCAUCUGACCAUAGACUUCCUCAAGAGACACGGACAUUGGCAGUACAUAAACUCCAUCUUUAAGAAACCUCCAAAGAAAGAAAUCGCAUGGUGUUAAAUUGUGAAAAAGGGGUGGCCAUCGGAGAAGGUUGUGGUCUGCUGUGGCAGCAUGUCCAAUUCAGUGUUGCUGAAGAACACGAUUAAGAAGCUUUCGUUCUGCCCCCAUCUUGGAAAUUGAUGCUGCAGCUGUGCAGUAAGCAAAACAAGCAACGUGCUGGUAGCACAUGAGAAACUUGGACAGUUGCGAAUGCUUACCUCGACGUUUUACACUGGAAACAAUAUGCAGAAUAUAUCCAGAAGUACUUAUGAAAUUAAUUCUGAAUAAAUAUAUGCGAAAUAUUGAAAAGCAGUCCUCAAAUCUUCCACAUAAGAUGUCUCGUACACUCACGUUUUUGGCUGAAAAUCUCUGAAGCGGAAGAGAUGCUUAAAGUCGUUUCCCUUUAUCCUUGGUUUUAAUGUCAUAAACUGUCAUAAAUCGUUGCAUUUCAUACGCCGACGGCUUGAAUUGUUGUGACAGAUAUAUCUGCGUAACUGCAAAAAGCCAAAUAUGAUUCAAUUUUUUUUAAAGUCAGUUUUUUCUUCAUGUCUGGUUUUUCUGAAUUCGGACAUUGCAUAAAUUAUUUGUUAUCAUAAUCAAAUAGAAGAACAUGUAAGUCCCUUCUGUCUGUAAGGUUUUAAGUCAUGGUAAAUGUAAUUCAAGUCUUUAUGAAAUUCGUUCUUGUCAAAAUAAGGAAUUUAAAUGUAUACAUCAGCAGAUACCGUCGUUUAUGUAGAUAAGUUUUAAUCCAGUAAUAGAA